AUCGGAACGUGCCCAAUCGUGGGGGAUAACGCAGCGAAAGCUGUGCUAAUACCGCAUACGAUCUACGGAUGAAAGCAGGGGAUCGCAAGACCUUGCGCGAAUGGAGCGGCCGAUGGCAGAUUAGGUAGUUGGUGAGGUAAAGGCUCACCAAGCCUUCGAUCUGUAGCUGGUCUGAGAGGACGACCAGCCACACUGGGACUGAGACACGGCCCAGACUCCUACGGGAGGCAGCAGUGGGGAAUUUUGGACAAUGGGCGCAAGCCUGAUCCAGCCAUGCCGCGUGCAGGAUGAAGGCCUUCGGGUUGUAAACUGCUUUUGUACGGAACGAAACGGCCUUUUCUAAUAAAGAGGGCUAAUGACGGUACCGUAAGAAUAAGCACCGGCUAACUACGUGCCAGCAGCCGCGGUAAUACGUAGGGUGCAAGCGUUAAUCGGAAUUACUGGGCGUAAAGCGUGCGCAGGCGGUAAUGUAAGACAGUUGUGAAAUCCCCGGGCUCAACCUGGGAACUGCAUCUGUGACUGCAUUGCUGGAGUACGGCAGAGGGGGAUGGAAUUCCGCGUGUAGCAGUGAAAUGCGUAGAUAUGCGGAGGAACACCGAUGGCGAAGGCAAUNCCCCUGGGCCUGUACUGACGCUCAUGC
Molecule: ribosomal RNA, 640 nt
Filed under: Variovorax paradoxus
Lineage: Bacteria; Pseudomonadati; Pseudomonadota; Betaproteobacteria; Burkholderiales; Comamonadaceae
Description: bacterial SSU rRNA
Rfam family: Bacterial small subunit ribosomal RNA
Source: RNAcentral